RNAcentral lists this ribosomal RNA (429 nucleotides) under uncultured bacterium. RNAcentral describes it as "bacterial SSU rRNA". It matches the Rfam family "Bacterial small subunit ribosomal RNA", at positions 355 to 776 of the family's 1533-position model. The record is from RNAcentral.
UGGGGAAUUUUGCGCAAUGGACGAAAGUCUGACGCAGCAACGCCGCGUGAAGGAUGAAGGCCUUAGGGUCGUAAACUUCUGUUAAUCGGGAAGAAAUAAUAAAAGUUAAUACCUUUUAUUGAUGACGUUACCGAUGGAGAAAGCUCCGGCUAACUUCGUGCCAGCAGCCGCGGUAAUACGAAGGGAGCAAGCGUUAUUCGGAAUUAUUGGGCGUAAAGGGUGCGUAGGCGGUGCCAUAAGUUUGUUGUUUAAUCUCUCGGCCUAACUGAGAGUAUGCGGCAAAUACUGUGGUGCUAGAGUAAGAUAGAGAGAGGUGGAAUUUUCGGAGUAGCGGUCAAAUGCGUAGAUCUCGAAAGGAACGCCAAUGGCGAAGGCAGCCUCUUGGGUCUUUACUGACGCUGAUGCACGAAGGCGUGGGGAGCAAACAGG